CCACCAAAGCGACGAUCAGUAGCCGACCUGAGAGGGUGACCGUCCACAUUGGGACUGAGACACGGCCCAAACUCCUACGGGAGGCAGCAGUGGGGAAUAUUGCACAAUGGGCGAAAGCCUGAUGCAGCGACGCCGCGUGAGUGAAGAAGUAUUUCGGUAUGUAAAGCUCUAUCAGCAGGGAAGAAAAUGACGGUACCUGACUAAGAAGCCCCGGCUAACUACGUGCCAGCAGCCGCGGUAAUACGUAGGGGGCAAGCGUUAUCCGGAUUUACUGGGUGUAAAGGGAGCGUAGACGGCGAAGCAAGUCUGAAGUGAAAACCCAGGGCUCAACCCUGGGACUGCUUUGGAAACUGUUUUGCUAGAGUGUCGGAGAGGUAAGUGGAAUUCCUAGUGUAGCGGUGAAAUGCGUAGAUAUUAGGAGGAACACCAGUGGCGAAGGCGGCUUACUGGACGAUAACUGACGUUGAGGCUCGAAAGCGUGGGGAGCAAACAGGAUUAGAUACCCUGGUAGUCCACGCCGUAAA
RNAcentral lists this ribosomal RNA (524 nucleotides) under uncultured bacterium. RNAcentral describes it as "bacterial SSU rRNA". It matches the Rfam family "Bacterial small subunit ribosomal RNA", at positions 265 to 806 of the family's 1533-position model. The record is from RNAcentral.